UCAUCAUCAGUGAAAUCGAGUAAGGCGGGACACGUGAUAUCCUGUCUGAAUAUGGGGGGACCAUCCUCCAAGGCUAAAUACUACUGACUGACCGAUAGUGAACCAGUACCGUGAGGGAAAGGCGAAAAGAACCCCUGUGAGGGGAGUGAAAUAGAACCUGAAACCGUGUACGUACAAGCAGUAGGAGCACCUUCGUGGUGUGACUGCGUACCUUUUGUAUAAUGGGUCAGCGACUUAAUUUUAGUAGCAAGGUUAACCGUUUAGGGGAGCCGUAGGGAAACCGAGUCUUAACUGGGCGUACAGUUGCUAGGAUUAGACCCGAAACCAGGUGAUCUAGCCAUGGGCAGGUUGAAGGUUGAGUAACAUCAACUGGAGGACCGAACCGACUAAUGUUGAAAAAUUAGCGGAUGACUUGUGGCUAGGGGUGAAAGGCCAAUCAAACCUGGAGAUAGCUGGUUCUCCCCGAAAGCUAUUUAGGUAGCGCCUCGGACGAAUACUACUGGGGGUAGAGCACUGUUAAGGCUAGGGGGUCAUCCCGACUUACCAACCCUUUGCAAACUCCGAAUACCAGUAAGUACUAUCCGGGAGACACACGGCGGGUGCUAACGUCCGUCGUGGAGAGGGAAACAACCCAGACCGCCAGCUAAGGUCCCAAAGUAUAGCUAAGUGGGAAACGAUGUGGGAAGGCUCAGACAGCCAGGAUGUUGGCUUAGAAGCAGCCAUCAUUUAAAGAAAGCGUAAUAGCUCACUGGUCGAGUCGGCCUGCGCGGAAGAUGUAACGGGGCUAAGCUAUACACCGAAGCUGCGGCUACGUACCUUAGGGU
Molecule: ribosomal RNA, 824 nt
Filed under: Vibrio toranzoniae
Lineage: Bacteria; Pseudomonadati; Pseudomonadota; Gammaproteobacteria; Vibrionales; Vibrionaceae
Description: Bacterial large subunit ribosomal RNA
Rfam family: Bacterial large subunit ribosomal RNA
Source: Rfam by way of RNAcentral